CCCUUAGACGUUCUGGGCCGCACGCGUGCUACACUGACCGGCGCAACAAGCUUUUUUCCUUGGCUCGACAGGCCUGGGUAAUCUUCGAACGCCGGUCGUGAUGGGGAUAGAUCCUUGCAAUUUUUGAUCUUCAACGAGGAAUUCCUAGUAAAUGCGAGUCAUCAUCUCGCGUUGAUUACGUCCCUGCCCUUUGUACACACCGCCCGUCGCUACUACCGAUUGGACGUUUUAGUGAGGAUUUUGGACUGAGCCAAUGGUGGUUCACACCACUGUUGUGCAUGGAAAGAUCUCCAAACUUGAGCGUUUAGAGGAAGUAAAAGUCGUAACA
Molecule: ribosomal RNA, 328 nt
Filed under: uncultured eukaryote
Lineage: Eukaryota
Description: partial 18S ribosomal RNA
Rfam family: Eukaryotic small subunit ribosomal RNA
Source: RNAcentral